This 138-nucleotide non-coding RNA is filed under the name unclassified sequences. RNAcentral's name for it is "poplar-1 RNA". It matches the Rfam family "poplar-1 RNA". From Rfam's summary of the family: metagenome only. Environment (Groundwater, Oak Ridge) The record is from Rfam by way of RNAcentral.
UUCGAGCCGAGGGGCAAAGCGGAAACUUCAGGUCGACGUCGAUCAGAAACAGUAGCUAGUAGCCCGAUCCCAGUGACGGACUGACUGAAGCCGGGAUAAGUACUGAGCCCACGCAAAGGGCAGUCAGGCAGUAUCUUA